Molecule: ribosomal RNA, 354 nt
Filed under: uncultured Smithella sp.
Lineage: Bacteria; Pseudomonadati; Thermodesulfobacteriota; Syntrophia; Syntrophales; Smithellaceae
Description: bacterial SSU rRNA
Rfam family: Bacterial small subunit ribosomal RNA
Source: RNAcentral
ACAGGGUGACAGGUGGUGCAUGGUUGUCGUCAGCUCGUGUCGUGAGAUGUUGGGUUAAGUCCCGCAACGAGCGCAACCCUCGACCUUAGUUGCCAGCAUUCAGUUGGGCACUUUAAAGAGACUGCCGGUGUUAAACCGGAGGAAGGUGGGAUGACGUCAAGUCCUCAUGGCCUUUAUGCUUAGGGCUACACACGUGCUACAAUGGGUGGUACAAAGAGAAGCCAACUCGCGAGAGCGCGCCAAUCUCAAAAAGCCAUCCUCAGUUCGGAUUGGAGUCUGCAACUCGACUCCAUGAAGUUGGAAUCGCUAGUAAUCGCGGAUCAGCAUGCCGCGGUGAAUACGUUCCCGGGCCUU